Molecule: ribosomal RNA, 586 nt
Filed under: uncultured bacterium
Lineage: Bacteria
Description: partial 16S ribosomal RNA
Rfam family: Bacterial small subunit ribosomal RNA
Source: RNAcentral
UGGGGAAUUUUGGACAAUGGGCGAAAGCCCGAUCCAGCAAUGCCGCGUGUGUGAAGAAGGCCUUCGGGUUGUAAAGCACUUUUGUCCGGAAAGAAAUCCUCUGGGUUAAUACCUCGGGGGGAUGACGGUACCGGAAGAAUAAGCACCGGCUAACUACGUGCCAGCAGCCGCGGUAAUACGUAGGGUGCAAGCGUUAAUCGGAAUUACUGGGCGUAAAGCGCGCGCAGGCGGUUUUGUAAGACGGAUGUGAAAUCCCCGGGCUUAACCUGGGAACUGCAUUCGUGACUGCAAGGCUAGAGUAUGGCAGAGGGGGGUAGAAUUCCACGUGUAGCAGUGAAAUGCGUAGAGAUGUGGAGGAAUACCGAUGGCGAAGGCAGCCCCCUGGGCCAAUACUGACGCUCAUGCACGAAAGCGUGGGGAGCAAACAGGAUUAGAUACCCUGGUAGUCCACGCCCUAAAACGAUGUCAACUAGUUGUUGGGGAUUCAUUUCCUUAGUAACGUAGCUAACGCGUGAAGUUGACCGCCUGGGGAGUACGGUCGCAAGAUUAAAACUUAAAUGAAUUGACGGGGUCAUAGCUGUUUCCU